RNAcentral lists this ribosomal RNA (541 nucleotides) under Colletotrichum gloeosporioides. RNAcentral describes it as "SSU rRNA". It matches the Rfam family "Bacterial small subunit ribosomal RNA", at positions 400 to 964 of the family's 1533-position model. Lineage: Eukaryota; Fungi; Ascomycota; Sordariomycetes; Glomerellales; Glomerellaceae. The record is from RNAcentral.
UAUAUAAAAUGCCUACGGCUGACUGGCAUUUGGGUAACGAUGAAUUGUAGAUUUACGAAAAUAAAGUUUUAAGUACAUAUUAAUAAUGAUAAUAUGUAUAAAAGUCUUGACCAAUUACGUGCCAGCAGUCGCGGUAAUACGUAGGAGACGAGCAUUAUUCAUUUUAAAUAGGUUUAAAGGGUACCCAAACGGUCAAUAUAUCUUAAAUAAAGAAGCACUUGACUAGAGUUAUAUGUAAGAAGACCGUACUUGAGGUGGAGAGAUUAUAUCCGAUGAUACCAAGGGGACUGGUGACGGCGAAGGCUGUCUUUUAUGUAAUAACUGACGUUGGAGGACGAAGGUUUAGAGCACUAACAGGAUUUGACACCCUAGUAGUCUUUACAGACAAUGAUGAAUGCCAUUAACUAGAUUGUAAUUUAGUUUUAUAAAUGAAAAUGAAAGCAUUUCACCUCAAGAGUAAUGUGGCAACGCAGGAACUGAAAUCACUAGACCGUUUCUGACAUCAGUAGUGAAGUAUGUUAUUUAAUUCCGAUGAUCCGCA